UAAACUACGAUUAGAUACCCUAUUAUUUUAAAUGUUAAAUUUUUAUUGCUUGAGUAGUAAUAGAUAUGUUCUUGAAACUCAAAGAAUUUGGCGGUGUUUUAGUCCUUUCAGAGGAACCUGUCCCAUAAUCGAUAUUCCACGUUAUAUCUUACUUAGUUUAGUGAUCAGCUUGUAUACCGCCGUCGUCAGAAUGUCCUUUUAGGGAAGAAAUUUUCUAGAAUUUUUAUUAUAAAUAAUGUCAGGUCAAGGUGCAGUUUAUAAUUAAGUGGAGGUGGGUUACAAUAAAUUUAUUUAUUUAUGGAUAAUGAUUUGAAAUAAUUGUUUGAAGGUGGAUUUGAUGGUAAUUUUGAAUAUUAUAUUAAAUUGAUUAUUGGCUCUAAAACAUGCACACAUCGCCCGUCGCUCUUA
Molecule: ribosomal RNA, 408 nt
Filed under: Kathroperla perdita
Lineage: Eukaryota; Metazoa; Arthropoda; Insecta; Plecoptera; Chloroperlidae
Description: partial 12S ribosomal RNA
Rfam family: Microsporidia small subunit ribosomal RNA (bases 52-408)
Source: RNAcentral